UUUAGGCUCACAAGCGACGACGGGUAGCCGACCUGAGAGGGUGACCGGCCACACUGGGACUGAGACACGGCCCAGACUCCUACGGGAGGCAGCAGUGGGGAAUAUUGCACAAUGGGCGCAAGCCUGAUGCAGCGACGCCGCGUGCGGGAUGACGGCCUUCGGGUUGUAAACCGCUUUUGACAGGGACGAAGCGCAAGUGACUGUACCUGUAGAAUAAGGACCGGCCAACUACGUGCCAGCAGCCGCGGUAAUACGUAGGGUCCGAGCGUUGUCCGGAAUUACUGGGCGUAAAGAGCUUGUAGGCGGUUCGUCGCGUCGUUUGUGAAAACUUGGGGCUCAACCUUAAGCUUGCAGGCGAUACGGGCGGACUAGAGUACUUCAGGGGAGACUGGAAUUCCUGGUGUAGCGGUGAAAUGCGCAGAUAUCAGGAGGAACACCGGUGGCGAAGGCGGGUCUCUGGGAAGUAACUGACGCUGAGAAGCGAAAGCAUGGGUAGCAAACAGGAUUAGAUACCCUGGUAGUCCAUGCCGUAAACGGUGGGUACUAGGUGUGGGGCUCCUUCCACGGACUCCGUGCCGUAGCUAACGCAUUAAGUACCCCGCCUGGGGAGUACGGCCGCAAGGCUAAAACUCAAAGAAAUUGACGGGGGCCCGCACAAGCGGCGGAGCAUGUGGAUUAAUUCGAUGCAACGCGAAGAACCUUACCUGGGUUUGACAUACACCGGAAACCUGCAGAGAUGUAGGCCCCCUUGUGGUCGGUGUACAGGUGGUGCAUGGCUGUCGUCAGCUCGUGUCGUGAGAUGUUGGGUUAAGUCCCGCAACGAGCGCAACCCUUAUCUUAUGUUGCCAGCGCGUAAUGGCGGGGACUCGUGAGAGACUGCCGGGGUCAACUCGGAGGAAGGUGGGGACGACGUCAAGUCAUCAUGCCCCUUAUGUCCAGGGCUUCACACAUGCUACAAUGGCCGGUACAGAGGGCUGCGAUACCGUGAGGUGGAGCGAAUCCCUUAAAGCCGGUCUCAGUUCGGAUCGGGGUCUGCAACUCGACCCCGUGAAGUUGGAGUCGCUAGUAAUCGCAGAUCAGCAACGCUGCGGUGAAUACGUUCCCGGGCCUUGUACACACCGCCCGUCACGUCAUGAAAGUCGGUAACACCCGAAGCCGUGCUAG
Molecule: ribosomal RNA, 1164 nt
Filed under: Nocardia sp.
Lineage: Bacteria; Bacillati; Actinomycetota; Actinomycetes; Mycobacteriales; Nocardiaceae
Description: bacterial SSU rRNA
Rfam family: Bacterial small subunit ribosomal RNA
Source: RNAcentral